GAUGAACGCUGGCGGCGUGCCUAAUACAUGCCAGUCGAGCGAACGGACGAGAAGCUUGCUUCUCUGAUGUUAGCGGCGGACGGGUGAGUAACACGUGGAUAACCUACCUAUAAGACUGGGAUAACUUCGGGAAACCGUAGCUAAUACCGGAUAAUAUUUUGAACCGCAUGGUUCAAAAGUGAAAGACGGUCUUGCUGUCACUUAUAGAUGGAUCCGCGCUGCAUUAGCUAGUUGGUAAGGUAACGGCUUACCAAGGCAACGAUGCAUAGCCGACCUGAGAGGGUGAUCGGCCACACUGGAACUGAGACACGGUACAGACUCCUACGGGAGGCAGCAGUAGGGAAUCUUCCGCAAUGGGCGAAAGCCUGACGGAGCAACGCCGCGUGAGUGAUGAAGGUCUUCGGAUCGUAAAACUCUGUUAUUAGGGAAGAACAUAUGUGUAAGUAACUGUGCACAUCUUGACGGUACCUAAUCAGAAAGCCACGGCUAACUACGUG
Molecule: ribosomal RNA, 497 nt
Filed under: uncultured bacterium
Lineage: Bacteria
Description: partial 16S ribosomal RNA
Rfam family: Bacterial small subunit ribosomal RNA
Source: RNAcentral